Molecule: unclassified non-coding RNA, 333 nt
Filed under: soil metagenome
Description: partial contains 5.8S ribosomal RNA, internal transcribed spacer 2, and large subunit ribosomal RNA
Rfam family: 5.8S ribosomal RNA (bases 1-120)
Source: RNAcentral
GAUGAAGAACGCAGCGAAAUGCGAUAAGUAGUGUGAAUUGCAGAAUUCAGUGAAUCAUCGAAUCUUUGAACGCACAUUGCGCCCCUUGGUAUUCCAUGGGGCAUGCCUGUUCGAGCGUCAUUUGUACCUUCAAGCUUUGCUUGGUGUUGGGUGUUUGUCCAUUCUCUUGCAGAGGGACUCGCCUUAAAGUAAUUGGCAGCCAGUGUUUUGGCUUUGAAGCGCAGCACAAGUCGCGAUUCAACGCUAUACGCCAGCUUCCACAAGCCUUUUUCACUUUUGACCUCGGAUCAGGUAGGGAUACCCGCUGAACUUAAGCAUAUCAAAAGCGGAGGA